AUUGAACGCUGGCGGCAUGCCUUACACAUGCAAGUCGAACGGCAGCACGGGAGCAAUCCUGGUGGCGAGUGGCGAACGGGUGAGUAAAGUAUCGGAACGUGCCCAGUCGUGGGGGAUAACGUAGCGAAAGUUACGCUAAUACCGCAUACGAUCUAUGGAUGAAAGCGGGGGAUCGCAAGACCUCGCGCGAUUGGAGCGGCCGAUAUCAGAUUAGGUGGUUGGGGGGGUAAAGGCUCACCAAGCCGACGAUCUGUAGCUGGUCUGCGAGGACGACCAGCCACACUGGGACGGGGACACGGCCCAGACUCCUACGGGAGGCAGCAGUGGGGAAUUUUGGACAAUGGGCGAAAGCCUGAUCCAGCCAUGCCGCGUGCAGGAUGAAGGCCUUCGGGUUGUAAACUGCUUUUGUACGGAACGAAAAGGUUUGGCCUAAUAAGCUGAGCUCAUGACGGUACCGUAAGAAUAAGCACCGGCUAACUACGUGCCAGCCGCCGCAGUAA
RNAcentral lists this ribosomal RNA (500 nucleotides) under uncultured bacterium. RNAcentral describes it as "partial 16S ribosomal RNA". It matches the Rfam family "Bacterial small subunit ribosomal RNA", at positions 29 to 523 of the family's 1533-position model. The record is from RNAcentral.